This 887-nucleotide ribosomal RNA is filed under the name uncultured bacterium. RNAcentral's name for it is "bacterial SSU rRNA". It matches the Rfam family "Bacterial small subunit ribosomal RNA", at positions 46 to 916 of the family's 1533-position model. The record is from RNAcentral.
GCUAAUACAUGCAAGUUGAACGAUGAUUUCUGGUACUUGUAUCAGAAUGAAGAGUAGCGAACGGGUGAGUAACGCGUGGGUAACCUACCUCUUAGCGGGGGACAACUAUUAGAAACGAUAGCUAAUACCGCGUAACAAUAUUAAACACAUGCUUAACAUUUGAAAGUACCAAUUGGUACACUAGGAGAUGGACCCGCGUUGCAUUAGCUAGUUGGUAGUGUAAUGGACUACCAAGGCGAUGAUACAUAGCCGAUCUGAGAGGGUGAUCGGCCACAUUGGGACUGAGACACGGCCCAAACUCCUACGGGAGGCAGCAGUAGGGAAUCUUCGGCAAUGGACGAAAGUCUGACCGAGCAACGCCGCGUGAGUGAAGAAGGUUUUCGGAUCGUAAAACUCUGUUGUUAGAGAAGAACGUUGUGUAGAGUGGAAAAUUACACAAGUGACGGUAUCUAACCAGAAAGGGACGGCUAACUACGUGCCAGCAGCCGCGGUAAUACGUAGGUCCCGAGCGUUGUCCGGAUUUAUUGGGCGUAAAGCGAGCGCAGGUGGUUUAAUAAGUCUGAUGUAAAAGGCAGUGGCUCAACCAUUGUGUGCAUUGGAAACUGUUAGACUUGAGUGCAGUAGAGGAGAGUGGAAUUCCAUGUGUAGCGGUGAAAUGCGUAGAUAUAUGGAGGAACACCGGUGGCGAAAGCGGCUCUCUGGACUGUAACUGACACUGAGGCUCGAAAGCGUGGGUAGCAAACAGGAUUAGAUACCCUGGUAGUCCACGCCGUAAACGAUGAGUGCUAGUUGUUUGGGGCUAUCCAGCCCUAAGUGACGCAGCAAACGCAUUAAGCACUCCGCCUGGGGAGUACGACCGCAAGGUUGAAACUCAAAGGAAUUGACGG